RNAcentral lists this ribosomal RNA (437 nucleotides) under uncultured marine bacterium. RNAcentral's name for it is "bacterial SSU rRNA". It matches the Rfam family "Bacterial small subunit ribosomal RNA", at positions 1 to 436 of the family's 1533-position model. The record is from RNAcentral.
UAGAGUUUGAUCAUGGCUCAGGACGAACGCUGGCGGUGUGCUUAACACAUGCAAGUCAACGAGAAUUUAUCUUCGGAUAAUAGUAAAGUGGCGAACGGGUGAGUAACGCGUAAAUAACUUGCCUCGGAGAUUGGGACAACAUUGGGAAACCAGUGCUAAUACCAAAUAAUGCAGCGGGCCCUUUGGGGUAUUGUUGUUAAAGUAGGCUUCGGCUUACACUUCGAGAUAGAUUUGCGUCCGAUUAGUUAGUUGGUAGGGUAAUAGCCUACCAAGACCGAGAUCGGUAGCUGGUCUGAGAGGAUGAUCAGCCACACUGGAAUUGAGAUACGGUCCAGACUCCUACGGGAGGCAGCAGUGAGGAAUUUUGCACAAUGGGCGAAAGCCUGAUGCAGCAACACCGCGUGAUUGAUGAAGUUUUUAGGAAUGUAAAAAUCUGU